RNAcentral lists this ribosomal RNA (229 nucleotides) under uncultured bacterium. RNAcentral's name for it is "partial 16S ribosomal RNA". It matches the Rfam family "Bacterial small subunit ribosomal RNA", at positions 107 to 334 of the family's 1533-position model. The record is from RNAcentral.
UGAGUAACACGUAUCCAACCUGCCGUCUACUCUUGGCCAGCCUUCUGAAAGGAAGAUUAAUCCAGGAUGGCAUCAUGAGUUCACAUGUCCGCAUGAUUAAAGGUAUUUUCCGGUAGACGAUGGGGAUGCGUUCCAUUAGAUAGUAGGCGGGGUAACGGCCCACCUAGUCAACGAUGGAUAGGGGUUCUGAGAGGAAGGUCCCCCACAUUGGAACUGAGACACGGCCCAG